UGGGGAAUUUUGGACAAUGGGGGCAACCCUGAUCCAGCCAUGCCGCGUGAGUGAAGAAGGCCUUCGGGUUGUAAAGCUCUUUCGGCGGGGACGAAACGGUCCGUGACAACACCACGGACUAAUGACAGUACUCGCAGAAGAAGCACCGGCUAACUACGUGCCAGCAGCCGCGGUAAUACGUAGGGUGCAGGCGUUAAUCGGAAUUACUGGGCGUAAAGCGUGCGCAGGCGGCUCCUUAAGUCAGAUGUGAAAUCCCUGGGCUUAACCUGGGAACUGCGUUUGAAACUGAGGGGCUAGAGUGUGGAAGAGGGGGGUGGAAUUCCAGGUGUAGCAGUGAAAUGCGUAGAGAUCUGGAGGAACACCGAUGGCGAAGGCAGCCCCCUGGGCUAACACUGACGCUCAUGCACGAAAGCGUGGGGAGCAAACAGGAUUAGAUACCCACGUAGUCCCUGAGCGGGCUGGCAAGGCGCAU
RNAcentral lists this ribosomal RNA (472 nucleotides) under uncultured bacterium. RNAcentral describes it as "bacterial SSU rRNA". It matches the Rfam family "Bacterial small subunit ribosomal RNA", at positions 355 to 825 of the family's 1533-position model. The record is from RNAcentral.